Long non-coding RNA from Hyla sarda, 403 nucleotides. RefSeq lists it as uncharacterized. The record is from RefSeq and is a predicted model, not a curated record. The transcript is spliced from 3 exons. NCBI's taxonomy places the organism in Eukaryota, Metazoa, Chordata, Amphibia, Anura, Hylidae.
CAGAGACCGAGGAAGAGCAGAGACUGCAGUCACAACACAGAAUGGAUUCCAAUGGGAGCCGCACGUCUCGCACACUGCACAGAGUCUGAGAAAGUUGCUCAGAAUACCCACGUGGGAAAUAAAAAGUCACGACUUAUAUGACGUCACGUGCGCGAUUCAGCGACAAUCGUCACAUAGUGUCGGAAGUGAACAACGAGGGGUGCACAUCAAAGCCAACAAGCAAACACUUUCCACAGGUUGAAGACCACCGGUAUACAGUAUAUUAAUCUGUUCCAGGACGACCAUUGUAUGUUGAAACCAUUGUAUGUUGAAACCAUUGUAUGCCGAGACCCUAACUCUAUGGAAACCUGGUAAUUGGUUCUGAAGCCCCAAAAUGUCAUGCAAAAAUAGGAAAACGUGAGGA